AUACGUAGGGUGCAAGCGUUAUUCGGAAUUACUGGGCGUAAAGCGUGCGCAGGCGGUUUUGUAAGACAGAGGUGAAAUCCCCGGGCUCAACCUGGGAACUGCCUUUGUGACUGCAAAGCUAGAGUACGGCAGAAGGGGAUGGAAUUCCGCGUGUAGCAGUGAAAUGCGUAGAUAUGCGGAGGAACACCGAUGGCGAAGGCAAUCCCCUGGGCCUGUACUGACGCUCAUGCCCGAAAGCGUGGGGAGCAAACAGGAUUAGAUUCCCUGGUAGUCCACGCCCUAAACGAUGUCAACUGGUUGUUGGGUCUUAACGGACUCAGUAACGAAGCUAACGCGUGAAGUUGACCGCCUGGGGAGUACGGCCGCAAGGUUGAAACUCAAAGGAAUUGACGGGG
RNAcentral lists this ribosomal RNA (395 nucleotides) under uncultured bacterium. Its description in RNAcentral is "partial 16S ribosomal RNA". It matches the Rfam family "Bacterial small subunit ribosomal RNA", at positions 523 to 918 of the family's 1533-position model. The record is from RNAcentral.